CCUACGGGAGGCAGCAGUGGGGAAUUUUGGACAAUGGGCGAAAGCCUGAUCCAGCCAUUCCGCGUGAGUGAAGAAGGCCUUCGGGUUGUAAAGCUCUUUCGCAAGGGAAGAAAACUUAGCUACUAAUAUUAGCUGAGGUUGACGGUACCUUGAUAAGAAGCACCGGCUAACUACGUGCCAGCAGCCGCGGUAAUACGUAGGGUGCGAGCGUUAAUCGGAAUUACUGGGCGUAAAGCGUGCGCAGGCGGUUUUGUAAGUCAGAUGUGAAAUCCCCGAGCUCAACUUGGGAACUGCGUUUGAAACUACAAGACUAGAAUAUGUCAGAGGGGGGUAGAAUUCCACGUGUAGCAGUGAAAUGCGUAGAGAUGUGGAGGAAUACCAAUGGCGAAGGCAGCCCCCUGGGAUAAUAUUGACGCUCAUGCACGAAAAGCGUGGGGAGCAAAACAGGAUUAGAUACCCUGGUAGUCCACGCCCUAAACGAUGUCUACUAGUUGUUGGUAGAGUAAAAUCCAUGAGUAACGCAGCUAACGCGUGAAGUAGACCGCCUGGGGAGUACGGUCGCAAGAUUAAAAACNAAAAGGAUUGACGNNGAGAGNGCGAGAGACACGAGGAGAGG
Molecule: ribosomal RNA, 616 nt
Filed under: uncultured bacterium
Lineage: Bacteria
Description: bacterial SSU rRNA
Rfam family: Bacterial small subunit ribosomal RNA
Source: RNAcentral